This 196-nucleotide ribosomal RNA is filed under the name uncultured bacterium. RNAcentral describes it as "partial 16S ribosomal RNA". The record is from RNAcentral.
AUUACCGCGGCUGCUGGCACGGAGUUAGCCGGUGCUUCUUCUGCGGGUAACGUCAAUUGCUGAGGUUAUUAACCUCAACACCUUCCUCCCCGCUGAAAGUACUUUACAACCCGAAGGCCUUCUUCAUACACGCGGCAUGGCUGCAUCAGGCUUGCGCCCAUUGUGCAAUAUUCCCCACUGCUGCCUCCCGUAGGAG